ACUCAAAUGAAUAGACGGGGACUUGCACAAGCAGUGGAUCAUGUGGUUCAAUUCGUCGGUAAACGAAAAACCUUACCAGGGUUAGAAAUCUAGCUGAAGGCUAGCAGAAACGUUAGUCGUCUCACAAGGACAGCUAGACAGGUGCUGCAUGGCCGUCGUCAGUUCGUGGUUUGAAUUGUUCCCUUCAGUGGGGUAACGAACGCAACCCUCGUUGCCUGUUAUAUUAUGUCAGGCGAGACUGCCCAGCCUUCAAUUCGCAAAGUAAUUUGUGAAGUGGAGGCUGGGAGGAAGGCGAGGAUGACGCCAGGUCAGCAUGGCCCUUUGACAUCCUGGGCUACACACGUGAUACAAUCGCAUCUACAACGCGUCGUGACGGGGUAACCCUGAACUAAUCGUUAGAAAGGAUGCGCCAGUUCGGAUUGGGGUCUGCAACUCGACCCCAUGAAGCCGGAAUUGCUAGUAAUCGCAGGUCAGCAUACUGCGGUGAAUACGUUCUCAAGUCUUGUACACACCGCCCGU
Molecule: ribosomal RNA, 519 nt
Filed under: uncultured bacterium
Lineage: Bacteria
Description: partial 16S ribosomal RNA
Rfam family: Bacterial small subunit ribosomal RNA
Source: RNAcentral